CAAUGAGACGAAGGGGCAGCCAACCCGCUCCCCCCUCCCCCCCACAGCUGGCAGGGAGAAGAGACAGUGCGAGCCUGCUAGGGCAUGCCACGCCCUAGGUCACGGGAGGCGAGCGGGUGCGGUGCGGUGGAGCAGGGCUCGCCCUGCAGAUGGGGAGAGGCUGUCCCCGAGCUGCGGAAAAUUGCUUGGGAGUGCAGCCGGCACGUUAGGCUGCUAACGGGCACGGGGAGGGUUUGCAGUGGAAGGGCAGGAAGGUUGUCAGAGUGCAGAUCUGUGCCAGAAACUGGUGCAGAGAGAGAGAGAGCGAGCGAUGACUCAACGCAAUAGGAGCCAAAAGCUGUUUUUCCCCUUGCUGUCUAGCAAAAGCGGCAGCAGGGAGCUCUUUUCUGGACCUGCAAAGAAACUGACUUCCUCCUUGGAUUGUAUGCAGUGUAGUUGUAGCCAGGAGUGGAGAGAAAGGGGAUAGACCCAGAUUCUGCAUUUAGAUCUGCUAGCAGAGACCCCUGUGCAUGUGCAGAAUCCUGUUGACUUCAGCAGGACUCUCCAGCAGUGGAUCCAAAUAUUAGAGCCAUGGAGUAGCUGCGACACUUCAAUCAGUAUAUACACCCAGGAUUUUUAAGGAAUGUACUCUGAUUCUGAACACCACAAAAAUGUCUUCAAAUUCCUUCUUGAGACCAAGUUUUUUACACAGCUUCAUAAAUGAUCCCUGAGUUCCCUUUAAAAAAAGUGUAAUCUUUUCUUCUGUAUGUUGUCCUUUUAUGAUCCCAUUGUAUUGAGGAGUGACGGAGGGCAGGGCAUUAGGAGUAAAAUAACAAAUAAACAUGCAUCAGAAUUGGCAAGCUCUGUUUCAGCAAAAUGUUUAAAAGUUCACUGUAUAAACUCUACACAAUGGGAUUAAAAGGAAGCAUUGACUCAGCAUACAAGAACUAUUGUCAUAUUGUCAGGCUAAAAUGAAUCACUCAGUGAUGGAUAGAUUCAAUCUCACUAUACUCUGAUCUUGCCAUAUAUUUGUCACUCUUCAAUUACAUUUUUAAUUUAUAUUUUAUGUAAGAAUUAAUCAAGCUGUUGAGAGACACUCACACUGUGUUUUGGUAUAGAAAAUAAAUGGUUUUAAUGAAUCAUUUAAUGCUUUUAAUCCAUUGCCUCCUUAUCCAUCAUCUUCCCUGUUCCUAUUAGAUCAAGGACAAGCUUUAUUACUUUAGUUUACAGUAUAAUUAGCACAUUAUCUUCUCUCCAGUUCCUAACAUUCCCCCAUUGAG
Non-coding RNA from Caretta caretta (loggerhead turtle), 1259 nucleotides. Lineage: Eukaryota; Metazoa; Chordata; Testudines; Cheloniidae. The record is from RefSeq and is a predicted model, not a curated record.